This 333-nucleotide long non-coding RNA is filed under the name Ananas comosus (pineapple). RNAcentral describes it as "long non-coding RNA (ACOM_LNC014651)". The record is from RNAcentral. Lineage: Eukaryota; Viridiplantae; Streptophyta; Magnoliopsida; Poales; Bromeliaceae.
AGAUAAAAUGACUAAACGGUAGCAUUUGGUUCGGGUAUAAGUAAGAACUAGUUAUUACAUGGAUAGGUAUAAACAUAAGGAUAAGAAAAAUAGCGUUUGGAUGAAAAUUGGGUUGUUUCGAAGGAUAAAAAAAAUAGCGUCUGGAUAGAUAAUAUGGAAUAAGAAAAAUAGUAGAUAGUUAUAUAUAGAAAAUGGAGGUGUUGGUGAGAAUAGUUAUACCAGAUUAUUUUAGAUAACCGAGAAUUACUAUUUUCAAAUAAAAAAUUUACGUUUGAAUAUAAAAGGGAAUAAGAAGUUAUCCCUCCCCUUAUCUCCAAUCCAAACACUGUCUUA